UAACCUACCUAUAAGACGUGGGAAUACGUACGGAACCGGAGCUAAUACCGGAUAAUAUUUCGAACCGCAUGGUUCGAUAGUGAAAGGUGGUUUUGCUAUCACUUAUAGAUGGACCCGCGCCGUAUUAGCUAGUUGGUAAGGUAACGGCUUACCAAGGCGACGAUACGUAGCCGACCUGAGAGGGUGAUCGGCCACACUGGAACUGAGACACGGUCCAGACUCCUACGGGAGGCAGCAGGA
Molecule: ribosomal RNA, 240 nt
Filed under: uncultured Staphylococcus sp.
Lineage: Bacteria; Bacillati; Bacillota; Bacilli; Caryophanales; Staphylococcaceae
Description: partial 16S ribosomal RNA
Rfam family: Bacterial small subunit ribosomal RNA
Source: RNAcentral